AUCGCUUCUCGGCCUUUUGGCUAAGAUCAAAGUGUAGUAUCUGUUCUUAUCAGCUUAAUAUCUGAUAGCACCCUAUCAGGGUGCCAGUAUAUUAAACUCAUUUUUGGAACUUGACGGAGUGCUAGGGGCUUGCUCCACCUCUGUCACGGGUUGGCCCGUCAUUGCAGUACCGACGGGAUUCGGCCCACCU
Molecule: small nuclear RNA, 190 nt
Filed under: Pyrgomorpha conica
Lineage: Eukaryota; Metazoa; Arthropoda; Insecta; Orthoptera; Pyrgomorphidae
Description: U2
Rfam family: U2 spliceosomal RNA
About the family: U2 is a small nuclear RNA (snRNA) component of the spliceosome (involved in pre-mRNA splicing).
Source: RNAcentral